GACGAGGAUAACCGUUGGAAACGGUUGCUAAGACUGGAUAGGAAAUAAAAAGGCAUCUUUUUAUUUUUAAAAGACCUUCUUCGGAGGGUAUGCUUAAAGAGGGGCUUGCGCCACAUUAGUUAGUUGGUGAGGUAAAGGCUCACCAAGAUUAUGAUGUGUAGCUGGACUGAGAGGUUGAACAGCCACAUUGGGACUGAGACACGGCCCAAACUCCUACGGGAGGCAGCAGUAGGGAAUUUUCGGCAAUGGAGGAAACUCUGACCGAGCGACGCCGCGUGAACGAUGAAGUAUUUCGGUAUGUAAAGUUCUUUUAUUGAAGAAGAAAAAAUAAUGGAAAAAUUAUCUUGACGUUAUUCAAUGAAUAAGCCCCGGCUAACUAUGUGCCAGCAGCCGCGGUAAGACAUAGGGGGCGAGCGUUAUCCGGAAUUAUUGGGCGUAAAGGGUGCGUAGGCGGUUAAAUAAGUCUAUAAUUUAAUUUCAGUGCUUAACGCUGUCUUGUUAUAGAAACUAUUUUGACUAGAGUGAGAUAGAGGCAAGCGGAAUUCCAUGUGUAGCGGUAAAAUGUGUAAAUAUAUGGAGGAACACCAGAAGCGUAGGCGGCUUGCUGGGUCUUUACUGACGCUGAGGCACGAAAGCGUGGGGAGCAAACAGGAUUAGAUACCCUGGUAGUCCACGCUGUAAACGAUGAGUACUAAGUGUCGGGGUAACUCGGUACUGAAGUUAACACAUUAAGUACUCCGCCUGAGUAGUACGUACGCAAGUAUGAAACUUAAAGGAAUUGACGGGACUCCGCACAAGCGGUGGAUCAUGUUGUUUAAUUCGAAGAUACACGAAAAACCUUACCAGGUCUUGACAUACUCUGCAAAACUAUAGAAAUAUAGUGGAGGUUAUCAGGGAUACAGGUGGUGCAUGGUUGUCGUCAGUUCGUGUCGUGAGAUGUUAGGUUAAGUCCUAAAACGAACGCAACCCCUUUCGUUAGUUGCCAGCACGUAAUGGUGGGGACUUUAGCGAUACUGCCAAUUAAAAGUUGGAGGAAGGUGGGGAUAACGUCAAAUCAUCAUGCCCCUUAUGAUCUGGGCUACAAACGUGAUACAAUGGCCGUUACAAAGAGUAGCUGAAACGCGAGUUCUUAGCCAAUCUCAAAAAGACGGUCUCAGUCCGGAUUGAAGUCUGCAACUCGACUUCAUGAAGCUGGAAUCGCUAGUAAUCGCGAAUCAGCAUGUCGCGGUGAAUACGUUCUCGGGGUUUGUACACACCGCCCGUCAAACCACGAAAGUUGGGCAAUAC
This 1287-nucleotide ribosomal RNA is filed under the name Candidatus Phytoplasma balanitae. RNAcentral describes it as "bacterial SSU rRNA". It matches the Rfam family "Bacterial small subunit ribosomal RNA", at positions 136 to 1421 of the family's 1533-position model. The record is from RNAcentral. Lineage: Bacteria; Bacillati; Mycoplasmatota; Mollicutes; Acholeplasmatales; Acholeplasmataceae.